Molecule: ribosomal RNA, 253 nt
Filed under: uncultured bacterium
Lineage: Bacteria
Description: partial 16S ribosomal RNA
Rfam family: Bacterial small subunit ribosomal RNA
Source: RNAcentral
UACAGAGGGUGCAAGCGUUAAUCGGAAUUACUGGGCGUAAAGCGUGCGUAGACGGUUGCGUAAGUCAGAUGUGAAAGCCCCGGGCUCAACCUGGGAAUUGCAUUUGUGACUGCACGGCUAGAGUGUGUCAGAGGGGGGUAGAAUUCCACGUGUAGCAGUGAAAUGCGUAGAGAUGUGGAGGAAUACCGAUGGCGAAGGCAGCCCCCUGGGAUAACACUGACGCUCAUGCACGAAAGCGUGGGGAGCAAACAGG